UCUUGAGUAUGUAUUUUUUACUGAAAAAAUCAUUCAUAAAUUAACAUACAAAAAUGUACAAACACAUGAGUAAAUAAUGUAAUGACAAAGGACUAUUUUUGUGAAAAGUGUUUUUUAAAACAUCUUUAGAUUUCAGUGCAAAAAUGUACCCCUGGCACCUCUUAAAACGUAAGAGCAAGCUCAAAAACACGUAGUGAUGGAAAUAAGCUAGCUACGCUCAAUGCCAUCGUCAAUGGUGAGUGGAUACAAUCAAUCCAUGUGGCUCCUGCUCAGCUAUUAAUGUCUGUGGUAGAGCAUCUCUGACAAGAGGACCUAUUAUGUCAAAAUGAGUAUUCUUGCAAAUACCCCCCCACCCCCCAAAACAGCAUGAACAAACGGGGACACCUUUCCCUGCACACAGCAAUCAAAGACAAGAUUAAGGGGCCACCCAUCAGUAGCCUUGAAGAUUUUCAGCUACCAAUAUAUGCACAAGGUCACAUUUGGUUCCUGUUUUUUUUUUUUUAACAUGACAAUUUCACACUAUUAACAGCACACGGGCCUGGCUGUACGUUUUUAACUAUGACAUUUCCCAUAUGAUAUUCGAGGCCUGGUGGACACAUGACUGACAGUGCACAUCCAGAGAUUCCACACUCAUCAGACACAGACAUGACUGCAAAGGUAUCAAAGUGACCCCACUUUAAGCAGUGAAAAAAGACCUUUCCUUUUGUUCUCAAAUCAGCAUUUUCUAAAGUCAGGUGUUAGCCUUUUGCCAACAGUGUGUACUUGAUGGUAAUUAUGGUAACGUAGAGCUUCAAACAAGAUCGCCUGACAACACUGCCGCAUACACACACGGCACCCAGGACUCAGAAUCAGUCUGUCCUGGCAAAUCCUUCCAAAUGACAUCAUAGUGUUGUCACAUUGAAAGCAACUCACAGCCUUCAGUGAGGAAAGGGGAGAGGAGAAUGAGAAGGGGAGAAAAGCCAAGGCAGGGACAAAGGCCCGGUGGGGGAUGGGGGUUGCAGGGUGGAGGGGGGUCUUUAUUGCUAUAUGCACCAUAAAACAAAGGAAAACCAAAUGAACUUCUGUGUGUAAUGUUCACUUGUGAAGGUAUUUUAAAGCAUGAAAUGCUUAAGUCUUAAAAAACAUAUGCUAUAGCUUACCGGCAUUUUCAAGGGCAGGAACCUGCUCUCUCAUAUGAGCCGAUAAGAGCUUUGCAAUGCAAUUUAUUUUCUAAAUACCACUCUAUUCUUCAAAAGAACAACACAAACAAACAAACACACAAAAAACAAGGCCUGGCCAAUCACUCCCACAGUUUGUGGGGAUCAUAUGUCCACAGAACCAUCACAUGCAACGAAAAAAGCCCUAACCCACACACAUACACACACACACACACACCCCUACACACACCCAUGUAAACUAUGAAAAUCAAGGAAGUUGAAGGCAAACAAGGCAAUUAAAAAAAAAUACGAAGUACUCUUCAGAAAGUACUCCUCAUCACAAUAUAUAAAUAUGUUUUAUGGAAAACAAGGGCGGGGGAGGAAAACUGGCAUUUUCCAGAAUUCUGCAGAAGCCGACAGAGACUACAAUUUGAGGGCUUUGGUUUGGGGAAAAACAAAGAGGCACAAAUUCAAAUACAAUUUAGAAUAUGACUUCAAGGCUGGGAGCAAUGGCUCACACCCGCCCAUAAUCCCAGCACUUUGGGAAGUCAAGGUGGGCGGAUUGCUUGAGUCUAGGAGUUCGAGACCAGCCUGGGCAACAUGGAAGAAACCCCCGUCUCUACUAAAAAUACAAAAAAUUAGCCAGGUGUGGUGGUGUGCACCUGUAGUCCCAGCUACUCGGGAGGCUGAGGUGGGAAAAUGGCUUGAGCCUAGGAGAUGGAGGCUGCAGUGAGCUGUGAUCGUGCCACCACACUCCAGCUUAGGCGACAGAGCCAGACCGUCUUAAAAAACAAAAAAUAAUAUGACUUCAAAAUGCAGGUGGGGGUGUGAGCAGUGCACCUGGGCUCUUGCUGUCUGGAGCUUUAUUAGUCUAAUUUCAAAGCUUCAAUCCGGUCUUACCUGGAUCCCAGCUGCCCCACAGCACACAAGUGUCACCAGCUCCCUGGCUCCUGGCUCCCUAUUUGAGUGCUCCUUGGUUCUAUGUUUCAGUUACUAAUGUUGACAAAGAAUCUUUCCAGAAACCAAAAAGGGACACAGAGGAAUCACUGAAGCCAGCUGGUAAUGUAGGCACAUUGUUCAGAAACUGUGGCCAAGUUCCACAAGAGAAAAAGAAAGAGGGGGAGGGAUUCCCAUACACACCCCCGCCCCCCGCCCCCCGCCCCGCCAUACUGAUGAAAAGACAGAACACGAAGCCUGGAGAGCCAGAGAUGUGUAUGCAGCGAGCCCCGAAGGGCCUGCUUUAGGCAGGAAGCAGCCUGCUCUAACAGCAGCCUCCCGCUUAGCGGAGAGUGGGAUGAGCACGUGCGCGGCCGACAGGGAAGAGUGAAUCCAGAGUCAUGUGUAGGGACAGGCUCCACGGCAGGACCACGGCAGAUCACAGUUCAUCAUGGGUUCUGAAGACUGCGGCUAAGACAGGAUGUGGGGUAGGAGAUGGGGAGAGAGCAGCGGGACAGACGUCUGUCUUGUGAAAACAGAAAGCCAGUGCUGACGAAGGAAGUCCCCAAGCUCACUCCCUCAGUUCCAGCGGCUGAUCCAGUGAAGGCGUUUGUGCGUGUGCUGUCACAUUUUCCCCCUGAACUCUGUGAUCCUUCAUGAGACACGGUAUUUCUGUUCUCUUGCUGUAUAGACCCUCCCCCCUCCAAAAAAAAAUCUCAUCGGACUGCUUUCUUGGUGGCGGUGGGUAAAGCAAACGUACAUUCUCUCCUCUCAGUACUCGUUCACCUGAGCCAGCUCGGGUGUCAGGUUGACAGUUAUGUUUUUAUACAAGGCGUCGUAUGUGAUGUUUGCAAAGUAGUUCAGGUUGUUGAGGCCAUCCAGCCCUUGCCGUUCUUUUGACUUCCUCAGCAGAGCAUACCUGU
Molecule: long non-coding RNA, 2995 nt
Filed under: Pan troglodytes (chimpanzee)
Lineage: Eukaryota; Metazoa; Chordata; Mammalia; Primates; Hominidae
Description: long non-coding RNA NONPTRT008981
Source: RNAcentral